Molecule: long non-coding RNA, 528 nt
Organism: Anopheles coluzzii
Lineage: Eukaryota; Metazoa; Arthropoda; Insecta; Diptera; Culicidae
Exons: 3
Source: RefSeq, a predicted model, not a curated record
AUGUGCGGGAGUGAUGUGCGAUUUCUUGUGUCCCCAACUAUCCUUGUUUACGUUUUGCGCAGUGUUGCUCCUUAUUCCAUUGUGGAAUGAUUUAUCCUAGCUAACUUGUUGAGUUACAGGUGCAUGCGCCAUUCAUCAACGCCUACCUGUUGGCAUCAUCAACAAUCUUUAUAGUAGGUGACGGAAAGAAAUUGUUUUCCAGUUUUAAAAUAUUAAGCGUUCAGCACAACUCAGCCACAAAACAACGCACUGGAUUGCGCUAAGAACCUGUCGAAACGCGCGCAGCCCCCGGGAGCGGUAGGAGAAAGGAAGAACGAGAGGAGAAAAAACUAAAGCCAGCGCGCAGCUCUGAUGGUACCCCGUACGCGGUAAGAAGAAAAAAGAUCGAGAGGAGGAAGAACGGUAAAUUUGGAAGGGGGAGACCGUUCUGCCGUCUCCACAGUGUGAGUAUGCCAAAGCACGUGUUGGAAGGGAAAGAAAAAGUGUGGAAUAAACCGCAUGCGAAUGUGUGCAUACAGCAAAAGUAAA